RNAcentral lists this ribosomal RNA (429 nucleotides) under Bacteroidota bacterium. Its description in RNAcentral is "Bacteroidetes bacterium partial 16S ribosomal RNA". It matches the Rfam family "Bacterial small subunit ribosomal RNA", at positions 355 to 776 of the family's 1533-position model. The record is from RNAcentral. Lineage: Bacteria; Pseudomonadati; Bacteroidota.
UAGGGAAUCUUCCGCAAUGGACGCAAGUCUGACGGAGCAACGCCGCGUGUGUGAAGAAGGAUUUCGGUUCGUAAAACUCUGUUGUUAGAGAAGAACAGCGCAUAGAGUAACUGUUAUGCGUGUGACGGUAUCUAACCAGAAAGCCACGGCUAACUACGUGCCAGCAGCCGCGGUAAUACGUAGGUGGCAAGCGUUGCCCGGAUUUGUUGGGCGUAAAGCGAGCGCAGGCGGUCAAUUAAGUCUGAUGUGAAAGCCCCCGGCUCAACCGGGGAGGGUCAAUGGAAACUGGUUGACUUGAGUGCAGAAGAGGAGAAUGGAAUUCCAUGUGUAGCGGUGAAUUGCGUAGAUAUAUGGGGGAAAACCGGUGGCGAAAGCGGCUAUCUGGUCUGUAACUGACGCUGAGGCUCGAAAGCGUGGGGAGCGAACAGG